This is a long non-coding RNA of Megalobrama amblycephala (Wuchang bream), 1674 nucleotides long. RefSeq lists it as uncharacterized. The transcript is spliced from 3 exons. NCBI's taxonomy places the organism in Eukaryota, Metazoa, Chordata, Actinopteri, Cypriniformes, Xenocyprididae. The record is from RefSeq and is a predicted model, not a curated record.
CAUUCAGAUCACUAGAGGACGAAAAUUCCUUCUAAAGUUUAUAAGCCUUAAAAUUUAUUAUCAUUUUGAGAUAAUAUUGAUGAGGACAUUACCCCUUUGUGCUGUUUUAUGUUUAUUGCCAAUAAAAGAUAAAAUACAGAGUAAAGGGGGUUAAAACAGUAUUUUGCAAAGCAGGCCUGAGAUUUACUUCGAGCUCCAGUGACAGAUUAAUUUCUGUGUCAUAAAGAGGAGAGUACCUCUCAUAUUUUUUCCGUUUUAUGUGGAUGUACAACAUGCUGUUCUUCUCGAAGGCUCUGGCCCAUCGGGACCCGCGCGGAAUCCGGAGGGAACUCUCUCCCGGAUUGAAACGACGCAAUUUAGCACGGCAAACGCCGGCAUUCAAUCAUUCAGAUGAGACCUGGAGCCCAUGAAUGUCAAAGGGAGACCACAUCACCAACAACACGAGGAGGCCUCGAUGAAAACACGCCGGUGAAUCUGUCAGGUCUUUCAUGGCGGGAAAGGCUGCCCCACGUGCCCCUGUCUCAACUGCCCUGGGGAACACGUCACACGCGCUGGACCUUGGCCGUGUUUGCAGUGAGGCGCUGAUGAGAGUCGCUGACUCUGAAGAGGACACUUCAAGUGUGAUUAACAGUGGAGGAACGCGGAGAGCUGCGGCGGCUGCUAAUUAACCCUGCAUUGUGCUCAGCCGACAAAGAGACAAAAGAACAAAGUCGAAUUUGAAUGCGGCAGAUUAUCACGAUAACAAAAGACAAAGUAGUGGAUCGUGCUCUUGACGGGGAAUUUUCACACUGAUCGUCACAACAUGGGAUUGGAUCAAAGACCGAUGGAGUUACAUUAGCGGGACAAUGGGGCCUUGUUAUUCGACAACAAGAGGCAUCCAUCUGCAUGUCACAGGGGCCUAUUUUAGUCAACUAUCAGCUUCCUCUGCAGUUGAAUACAGUGUGGUAGAUUUCAAAUGUACAACGAUGAAGCCCAGGGGCUGAUGGAUGUUUCUUAGCAGUUGAUGGAUCUCGUAUGUUUCCACAGUGGUUUCAACUGGUUUUGCUUCAGGACCCAGAUCAAGUAGUGAACCAAUGGAACAAAAAGUUAUAAAUAUUACCACAAACAGUAUGCUAAAUUAUUAAUAUAACUUAAACCUUUUCUUUCUUUCACAAAAGAAGAUAUUUCGAAAAACGUCUCGGUGUAUUUUGUCCAUACAAUAAAAGUCAUUGGAGACCAGUGUUGUUUUGGACCCCAUUGAAUUUUAUUGUAUAGAAAAAAGUUGAAACAUUCUUCAAAAUAUCUCAUACUGAAAUAAAUCAUACUGGUUUGUAAUAACAUGGGGCAAGUAAAUGGUUAACUAUGUGUACUUUGAAGUACUGCGCACAUUCAUACUUUGGCAGGUGUUCAGAUAGGCCUGAUGAAGACCUUGUUUGGUCAAAAUGCUGCAAUAUAUUAAAGUUUUAUGGGAGCAGGUUAAGCAGUGAUAUGGGUGUGAUAUUUUACGGAGUGGCUAAUUUGUACAAAUUUGUAUGACCUCACUCGUAUGAAUUCAUACGUUUUUUUGCUAAAUUGUACGCAUUUUACAAGUUGCCAAAUCCGUAUGGAUUUGUACAAAUGACCUACCUCUAACCCCGCCCCUAAACCUACCCAUCACUGGGGUUUAGGCAAAUCGUAUGAAUUCGUACGAAUGAC